AGAGCGAACGCUGGCGGCAGGCCUAACACAUGCAAGUCGAGCGCCCGUAGCAAUACGGGAGCGGCAGACGGGAUAGUAACACGUGGGAACGCGCCCUUCGGUUCGGAAUAACUCAGGGAAACUUGAGCUAAUACCGGAUACGCCCUUACGGGGAAAGAUUUAUUGCCGAAGGAACGGCCCGCGUCCGAUUAGCUAGUUGGUGAGGUAAUGGCUCACCAAGGCGACGAUCGGUGGCUGGUCUGAGAGGAUGACCAGCAUCACUGGGACUGAGACACGGCCCAGACUCCUACGGGAGGCAGCAGUGGGGAAUAUUGGACAAUGGGCGCAAGCCUGAUCCAGCCAUGCCGCGUGGAUGAUGAAGGCCUUAGGGUUGUAAAGUCCUUUUAACGGGGAAGAUAAUGACGGUACCCGUAGAAUAAGCCCCGGCUAACUUCGCGCCAGCAGCCGC
This 448-nucleotide ribosomal RNA is filed under the name uncultured bacterium. RNAcentral describes it as "SSU rRNA". It matches the Rfam family "Bacterial small subunit ribosomal RNA", at positions 26 to 518 of the family's 1533-position model. The record is from RNAcentral.